RNAcentral lists this ribosomal RNA (460 nucleotides) under uncultured bacterium. RNAcentral describes it as "partial 16S ribosomal RNA". It matches the Rfam family "Bacterial small subunit ribosomal RNA", at positions 338 to 795 of the family's 1533-position model. The record is from RNAcentral.
CCUACGGGGGGCAGCAGUGAGGAAUAUUGGUCAAUGGACGAGAGUCUGAACCAACCAAGUAGCGUGAAGGAUGACUGCCCUAUGGGUUGUAAACUUCUUUUAUAUGGGAAUAAAACGUUCCACGUGUGGGAUUUUGUAUGUACCAUAUGAAUAAGGAUCGGCUAACUCCGUGCCAGCAGCCGCGGUAAUACGGAGGGUCCGAGCGUUAUCCGGAUUUAUUGGGUUUAAAGGGAGCGUAGGUGGAUUGUUAAGUCAGUUGUGAAAGUUUGCGGCUCAACCGUAAAAUUGCAGUUGAAACUGGCAGUCUUGAGUACAGUAGAGGUGGGCGGAAUUCGUGGUGUAGCGGUGAAAUGCUUAGAUAUCACGAAGAACUCCGAUUGCGAAGGCAGUUCACUGGACUGCAACUGACACUGAGGCUCGAAAGUGUGGGUAUCAAACAGGAUUAGAUACCCCGGUAGUC